RNAcentral lists this ribosomal RNA (702 nucleotides) under uncultured bacterium. RNAcentral's name for it is "bacterial SSU rRNA". It matches the Rfam family "Bacterial small subunit ribosomal RNA", at positions 173 to 896 of the family's 1533-position model. The record is from RNAcentral.
GCACAGCUUCGCAUGAAGCAGUGUGAAAAACUCCCGGUGGUACAGGAUGGACCCGCGUCUGAUUAGAUAGUUGGUGAGGUAACGGCCCACCAAGUCAACGAUCAGUAGCCGGCUGAGAGGGCGAACGGCCACAUUGGGACUGAGACACGGCCCAAACUCCUACGGGAGGCAGCAGUGGGGAAUAUUGCACAAUGGGGGAAACCCUGAUGCAGCGACGCCGCGUGAGUGAAGAAGUAUUUCGGUAUGUAAAGCUCUAUCAGCAGGGAAGAAAACAAUGACGGUACCUGACUAAGAAGCCCCGGCUAACUACGUGCCAGCAGCCGCGGUAAUACGUAGGGGGCAAGCGUUAUCCGGAUUUACUGGGUGUAAAGGGAGCGUAGACGGUAGACCAAGUCUGAAGUGAAAGCCCGGGGCUCAACCCCGGAACUGCUUUGGAAACUGGUAAACUAGAGUGCAGGAGAGGUAAGUGGAAUUCCUAGUGUAGCGGUGAAAUGCGUAGAUAUUAGGAGGAACACCAGUGGCGAAGGCGGCUUACUGGACUGUAACUGACGUUGAGGCUCGAAAGCGUGGGGAGCAAACAGGAUUAGAUACCCUGGUAGUCCACGCCGUAAACGAUGAUUACUAGGUGUCGGGGAGUUAAACUCUUCGGUGCCGCAGCAAACGCAAUAAGUAAUCCACCUGGGGAGUACGUUCGCAAGAAUG